CACGUAGGGGGCAAGCGUUGUCCGGAUUUAUUGGGCGUAAAGAGCUCGUAGGCGGUUCGCUAAGUCGGGUGUGAAAACUCUGGGCUCAACUCAGAGACGCCACCCGAUAAUGGCGUGACUCGAGUCCGGUAGGGGAGCAUGGAAUUCCUGGUGUAGCGGUGAAAUGCGUAGAUAUCGGGAGGAACACCAGUGGCGAAGGCGGCUUCCUGGCCUGUUCCUGACGCUGAGGCGCGAAAGCUAGGGGAGCAAACGGG
Molecule: ribosomal RNA, 254 nt
Filed under: uncultured bacterium
Lineage: Bacteria
Description: partial 16S ribosomal RNA
Rfam family: Bacterial small subunit ribosomal RNA
Source: RNAcentral